CAUGCAGGCGGUCGUGCAAGCCCGGCGUGAAAGGCGGGGCUCAACUCCCGAACUGCGCUGGGAACUGCAAGGCUUGAGUUUCUGAAGGGUAGUCGGAAUUCCACGUGUAGGGGUGAAAUCUGUAGAUAUGUGGAAGAACACCAAUGGCGAAGGCAGGUUACCGGCAGAUAAUUGACGCUGAGGUGCGAAAGUGCGGGGAGCGAACA
RNAcentral lists this ribosomal RNA (206 nucleotides) under uncultured bacterium. Its description in RNAcentral is "partial 16S ribosomal RNA". It matches the Rfam family "Bacterial small subunit ribosomal RNA", at positions 568 to 774 of the family's 1533-position model. The record is from RNAcentral.